GGCACACCGAAAACCCAAUCGAGAACAUUCAAAUACUUCGAUCGAAAUACCUCCCUUUCCUGAGCAUAGCAAUGCAUUAUAAUGGAAGUUGAUAUGCUGAAAACUAUCACAUCCGCUCUUUUGAAAUUCAACGAUGGCGGCAAAUAUCCCAAAUCCGUCAUGCAGCUGAAGAAGCUCUCGAUACCUCUCGCGAGGCAAUAGAGUGAGAUUUCUAUCCUUCUGCUUUUCUUCUCAAUGGCCAGUGCCAAACCUGUUAAGAACGU
RNAcentral lists this unclassified non-coding RNA (263 nucleotides) under Hevea brasiliensis (rubber tree). The record is from RNAcentral. Lineage: Eukaryota; Viridiplantae; Streptophyta; Magnoliopsida; Malpighiales; Euphorbiaceae.